Molecule: long non-coding RNA, 462 nt
Organism: Priapulus caudatus
Lineage: Eukaryota; Metazoa; Priapulida; Priapulimorpha; Priapulimorphida; Priapulidae
Exons: 3
Source: RefSeq, a predicted model, not a curated record
GCUUCUCUAGUAUCCCGUCUCAUCUGGAUUUCUAGAAAUGUAACUCACAUUCACAUUCACAGCUGUAUACAAGGCGCCAGAUAGGGUCUUGUUUGAAGUUGUUGCGGGUGUUUAUGCAGCUGCAUAUGGCGUAUGAAACCUGGGCGCAGUCUGUCUAGGAUGGCGCAGUUGGUCCGAUGUAUCGUGGCACGAAUGCGUCUCUCAUAGUAUGUGCAACGAAUAUUGGAAAUUCUGUUUUAACCAUUUAUCUCUCAAUUUCUCCAAUAAGAGUCAUGCAUUGCACUAUGCUAUUGUGAUAAAAGCAGGUUACUAAAAUAUGAUCUCAGCUUGUUUACUGGUACAGUCAAAUCAGUCUAAAGCUUUAGUUUAACAUUUUCUGUAAUAUAUUUGUAUGAUAAUGCAUUGCGUUUUACCAUUUAUUUCUUAAUUUUGCUAAAAUACCAAUAAUUAAGAAAUUAAUGG